AAGUCGUAACAAGGUUUCCGUAGGUGAACCUGCGGAAGGAUCAUUAUCACGUUCAUCCACGUAUCAACCAUUGUGAACUAGUAUUAGACCUUUGGAUCUUAAGAAAGGUAGUGUUAUGUUAAACCGUUAUCAAACAAUUAAAUGAUUGGAAAUUGUUGAGGUUUAAUGCGACCAAACAAAUUCGUUUGUUUACUUUCUGAUUCAAAGUGUAUUUUUUUCCAAUCAAUUAUUUCAUUAACCAUUUAAACCCAAAAUUUUUCUAAAUUUUGAACUGAUUUAAUUUCUUACUCUCUCUAAACCAGAGAGAAGAAAUAAAUGAUUACGAAACAUAAGAACAACUCUUAGCAACGGAUAUCUUGGUUCUC
Molecule: unclassified non-coding RNA, 365 nt
Filed under: fungal sp.
Lineage: Eukaryota; Fungi
Description: partial internal transcribed spacer region
Rfam family: Eukaryotic small subunit ribosomal RNA (bases 1-46)
Source: RNAcentral